This 468-nucleotide ribosomal RNA is filed under the name uncultured bacterium. Its description in RNAcentral is "partial 16S ribosomal RNA". It matches the Rfam family "Bacterial small subunit ribosomal RNA", at positions 28 to 507 of the family's 1533-position model. The record is from RNAcentral.
GACGAACGCUGGCGGCGUGCUUAACACAUGCAAGUCGAACGGAAAGGCCCUGCUUUUGUGGGGUGCUCGAGUGGCGAACGGGUGAGUAACACGUGAGUAACCUGCCCUUGACUUUGGGAUAACUUCAGGAAACUGGGGCUAAUACCGGAUAGGAGCUCCUGCUGCAUGGUGGGGGUUGGAAAGUUUCGGCGGUUGGGGAUGGACUCGCGGCUUAUCAGCUUGUUGGUGGGGUAGUGGCUUACCAAGGCUUUGACGGGUAGCCGGCCUGAGAGGGUGACCGGCCACAUUGGGACUGAGAUACGGCCCAGACUCCUACGGGAGGCAGCAGUGGGGAGUAUUGCACAAUGGGCGGAAGCCUGAUGCAGCAACGCCGCGUGCGGGAUGACGGCCUGUGGGUUGUAAACCGCUUUCGCCUGUGAGGAAGCGUGAGUGACGGUAAUGGGUAAAGAAGCACCGGCUAACUACGUG